CUUGGGUGGCGACCGGCGCACGGGUGAGUAACGCGUAUCCAACCUGCCCAUUACUCUGGGAUAGCCUUGCGAAAGUAAGAUUAAUACCGGAUGUUGUUAAAAACCCGCAUGAGUUUUUAACCAAAGAUUUAUUGGUAAUGGAUGGGGAUGCGUGACAUUAGGUAGUAGGUGAGGUAACGGCUCACCUAGCCGACGAUGUCUAGGGGUUCUGAGAGGAAGGUCCCCCACACUGGAACUGAGACACGGUCCAGACUCCUACGGGAGGCAGCAGUGAGGAAUAUUGGUCAAUGGACGAGAGUCUGAACCAGCCAAGUAGCGUGCAGGACGACGGCCCUCUGGGUUGUAAACUGCUUUUAGUUGGGAAUAAAAAGAGGGACGUGUCCCUAAUUGUAUGUACCAUCAGAAAAAGGACCGGCUAAUUCCGUGCCAGCAGCCGCGGUAAUACGGAAGGUCCAGGCGUUAUCCGGAUUUAUUGGGUUUAAAGGGAGCGUAGGCGGGACGUGUAAGUCAGCUGUGAAAGUUUGCGGCUCAACCGUAAAAUUGCAGUUGAAACUGCCGUUCUUGAGUGUGCGCAGGGAUGUUGGAAUUCGUGGUGUAGCGGUGAAAUGCUUAGAUAUCACGAAGAACUCCGAUCGCGAAGGCAGAUGUCCGGAGCACAACUGACGCUGAGGCUCGAAAGUGUGGGUAUCAAACAGGAUUA
Molecule: ribosomal RNA, 700 nt
Filed under: uncultured bacterium
Lineage: Bacteria
Description: bacterial SSU rRNA
Rfam family: Bacterial small subunit ribosomal RNA
Source: RNAcentral